This 433-nucleotide ribosomal RNA is filed under the name uncultured bacterium. RNAcentral describes it as "partial 16S ribosomal RNA". It matches the Rfam family "Bacterial small subunit ribosomal RNA", at positions 47 to 507 of the family's 1533-position model. The record is from RNAcentral.
AAACCAUACAGCCCGCACGUCUAACCUAUGCUCAUUGACCGAGCCAUUCGGGUCUAGUGGCGCACGCGCCCCAUACGCCACGUAACCUGUGCUUACGGUCGGAGUGACUCCUCGAAAGGUGUGCUCCUACCGCUUAAUGUGCUCGCACCAAAGAUUUAUCGACCUUGCAAGGGCCUGCGUUCGAUUAGCUCGUUGCUAGGGUAAAACCCUACCAAGGCGAGGAUCCAUAGCUGCUCUGAGAGGAUGAUCCGCCACACUGGGACUGAGACACGGCCCAGACUCCUACGGGAUGCAGCAGUGGUUAAUAUUGGACAAUGGGCGAAGGCCUGAUCCAUCAAGGCCACGUGAGUGUUGAAGGGCUUAGGGUUGUAAAGCUCUUUUACCCGGGAUGAUAAUGACAGUACCGUGAGAAUAAGCUGCGGCUAACUCCUUG